CAGUCGCCACGGUAAUACAGAGGGUGCAAGCGUUAAUCGGAAUUACUGGGCGUAAAGCGCACGCAGGCGGUUGGUUAAGUCAGAUGUGAAAGCCCCGGGCUCAACCUGGGAAUUGCAUUUGAAACUGGCCAACUAGAGUAUGUGAGAGGGGGGUAGAAUUCCAAGUGUAGCGGUGAAAUGCGUAGAGAUUUGGAGGAAUACCAGUGGCGAAGGCGGCCCCCUGGCACAAUACUGACGCUCAGGUGCGAAAGCGUGGGGAGCAAACAGGAUUAGAUACCCCUGUAGUCCCUGUCUCUUAUAC
RNAcentral lists this ribosomal RNA (301 nucleotides) under uncultured bacterium. RNAcentral's name for it is "partial 16S ribosomal RNA". It matches the Rfam family "Bacterial small subunit ribosomal RNA", at positions 509 to 807 of the family's 1533-position model. The record is from RNAcentral.